CUGCUCUGAAUAUUAGGUUUGUGAGGCAAGCCAUCACUCUCCUUCAGAAAACUUUGAUCAUUGUUAGACAUUUGUUAUUCCUUUUAGUUUAUAAAAACAAACUACUGAAGAGUCUGCUUUGGAGAGUUAUGGGAUUUUUGUGAGAUAUGGUUUGGAAGAGGUGAUAUCAAUGAUGAUAUUGAGUUCUUUCCAAGAACAUGUAUCAUCCACCCACCGAUUUGAUUCUGCUUUGACAUGGCUCAAUAGAAAUUCAAAAGUUGUUCUGUUAGGUUCAUUAAAUAUUGAUCACUUAUUAUACUUAGUACUUUAUUAAAUUUGGCCUGGAGUAAAGUGUUUAUACGUCCCCAAAGGAUAUCUCUUGUUGUAAUCACAUAGGAUGAACUCAGUUCCCCAAUGGACAAGUUGUGACAACAUGCAUGAAAUAGUGUCUACCAGGUAAUUAGCUCGUUAGACACUCAGUGUGCAUAGUGUUU
This 473-nucleotide long non-coding RNA is filed under the name Marmota monax (woodchuck). The record is from RNAcentral. Lineage: Eukaryota; Metazoa; Chordata; Mammalia; Rodentia; Sciuridae.